RNAcentral lists this ribosomal RNA (497 nucleotides) under uncultured bacterium. RNAcentral describes it as "partial 16S ribosomal RNA". It matches the Rfam family "Bacterial small subunit ribosomal RNA", at positions 28 to 507 of the family's 1533-position model. The record is from RNAcentral.
GAUGAACGCUGGCGGCGUGCCUAAUACAUGCAAGUCGAGCGAACGGACGAGAAGCUUGCUUCGCUGAUGUUAGCGGCGGACGGGUGAGUAACACGUGGAUAACCUACCUAUAAGACUGGGAUAACUUCGGGAAACCGGAGCUAAUACCGGAUGAUAUUUUGAACCGCAUGGUUCAAAAGUGAAAGACGGUCUUGCUGUCACUUAUAGAUGGAUCCGCGCUGCAUUAGCUAGUUGGUAAGGUAACGGCUUACCAAGGCAACGAUGCAUAGCCGACCUGAGAGGGUGAUCGGCCACACUGGAACUGAGACACGGUCCAGACUCCUACGGGAGGCAGCAGUAGGGAAUCUUCCGCAAUGGGCGAAAGCCUGACGGAGCAACGCCGCGUGAGUGAUGAAGGUCUUCGGAUCGUAAAACUCUGUUAUUAGGGAAGAACAUAUGUGUAAGUAACUGUGCACAUCUUGACGUUACCUAAUCAGAAAGCCACGGCUAACUACGUG